This 255-nucleotide ribosomal RNA is filed under the name uncultured bacterium. RNAcentral describes it as "partial 16S ribosomal RNA". It matches the Rfam family "Bacterial small subunit ribosomal RNA", at positions 524 to 776 of the family's 1533-position model. The record is from RNAcentral.
UACGAGGGGGGCAAGCGUUGUUCGGAUUUAUUGGGCGUAAAGGGUGCGUAGGCGGUUUGGCAAGUCUUUGUGUGAAAUCUUUGGGCUCAACCCAAAGCCUGCAUAAGAAACUGCCGGGCUUGAGUAUGGGAGAGGUGAGUGGAAUUUCCGGUGUAGCGGUGAAAUGCGUAGAUAUCGGAAGGAACACCUGUGGCGAAAGCGGCUCACUGGACCAUUACUGACGCUGAGGCACGGAAAGCGUGGGGAGCAAACAGG